RNAcentral lists this unclassified non-coding RNA (21 nucleotides) under Dictyostelium discoideum. The record is from RNAcentral. Lineage: Eukaryota; Evosea; Eumycetozoa; Dictyosteliales; Dictyosteliaceae.
UGGAAGUACUUGUUCGAUGGC